UUAUAUGGAGUUGGAAUGCAAAAUUAGUGUAAGGUACCAGACUUCUAAAAUUAUGAAGUUACGGUUUAUAUUGGUUUGGAGAGCCAGUUGAAUGGUUCCGGUGAAGUUCGGGAGCAUUCGGGCGUUUCGGUGUGCGUAGGCGCGGAAACGGGACCCGAAAGGCUAUGUUGGGCCGUGAAUUAAAUUCAGCAUUAGCGUGGAUGAAAAGAUGGUUUAAACAUGCUCGAAAACAUGUUUGGAGGGUCUCGGUUCGAUUUGAAAAAAAUCGGAGGCCAAACGAGCGAAAACGGACCCCGAAAGCUGAAAAAGCUGAAAAUUUGGCUAAGUCUGGA
Molecule: long non-coding RNA, 332 nt
Filed under: Ananas comosus (pineapple)
Lineage: Eukaryota; Viridiplantae; Streptophyta; Magnoliopsida; Poales; Bromeliaceae
Description: long non-coding RNA (ACOM_LNC031626)
Source: RNAcentral